UAGCGCAGCCGGGGAAUUAGCGGCUCCCUGUACCUACAAUCCGCUAUAGUGGGGGUGAUGUCCUGCCGAGGGUUCAGACUUGUGUAGCUGCCCUUCGCAAGUGGCGUUGAUAUCUGGGUCUUACGCAAUGGAAAUCCGUGAACCGUGUCAGGUCGGGAACGAAGCAGCACUAAGCGGAAUCUUUCAUGUGCCGUGAGGGUGCCUGGGUUGAGUUAACUGCGAAGGUAACGUAUGUGGGAAUGAAUUCGAAGCAGGACGCGCUA
Molecule: signal recognition particle RNA, 263 nt
Filed under: Lachnospiraceae bacterium
Lineage: Bacteria; Bacillati; Bacillota; Clostridia; Lachnospirales; Lachnospiraceae
Also listed under: 1 other name
Description: signal recognition particle sRNA large type
Rfam family: Bacterial large signal recognition particle RNA
About the family: The signal recognition particle (SRP) is a universally conserved ribonucleoprotein involved in the co-translational targeting of proteins to membranes. Archaeal SRP consists of a 7S RNA and homologues of the eukaryotic SRP19 and SRP54 proteins.
Source: RNAcentral